RNAcentral lists this long non-coding RNA (497 nucleotides) under Monodelphis domestica (gray short-tailed opossum). RNAcentral describes it as "lncRNA (ENSMODG00000030155.2)". Lineage: Eukaryota; Metazoa; Chordata; Mammalia; Didelphimorphia; Didelphidae. The record is from RNAcentral.
CUCCUAAUUUAGCUCUUCCCCUAACCAGGAGAAACUUCUGGCCCCAGACUCAGGUCUCUUCUUCUCCUUAUACUCAAGCCAAGACACUGUUCUUCCCUCCUGCAGCUAUUGUUCACAAUUAAGAAGAUACAUAAAUAAAAAGCUGUUAAAAGAGGUCAAAGAAAGUAAAGAGUUAGGGGAGAAGAAGGAAGCCAAAGAAAGCACUUAAUAAAGAUGUGGUCUAGCCAAAUUAGGAUACAAUGGUAUUCAUUCCUGGACCGUUUAGAUUAUUCAAAAAUGUUAAGGGAUCAUCAUCCAACAACCCUCUUAUGGAACUCACCUUGAUCCCUAACAAACAGGAUCCAGGGCUGCCUUCUAUAUAUUAAUACCUAUAAUUUGGGCCCUUAUUUCCAUCUUUCUUCCACUGGUUUUAUAUUCUAAAUAUGACUCUGGUCUUUAUACUGUUAAAGUUUUUAAUGUGUCUGAAAUGCUAGAACAUAAAGCAUAACCCACAUUCA